Molecule: ribosomal RNA, 817 nt
Filed under: uncultured bacterium
Lineage: Bacteria
Description: bacterial SSU rRNA
Rfam family: Bacterial small subunit ribosomal RNA
Source: RNAcentral
AGAGUUUGAUCCUGGCUCAGGACGAACGCUGGCGGCACGCCUAACACAUGCAAGUCGAACGGACUUAAAAGAGCUUGCUUUUUUAAGUUAGUGGCGGACGGGUGAGUAACACGUGAGCAACCUGCCUCUGAGAGGGGGAUAGCUUCUGGAAACGGAUGGUAAUACCCCAUAAAAUAUAAAUAUCGCAUGAUAGAUAUAUCAAAGAAAUUCGCUCAGAGAUGGGCUCGCGUCUGAUUAGAUAGUUGGUGAGGUAACGGCUCACCAAGUCGACGAUCAGUAGCCGGACUGAGAGGUUGAACGGCCACAUUGGGACUGAGACACGGCCCAGACUCCUACGGGAGGCAGCAGUAGGGAAUUUUCGGCAAUGGGGGAAACCCUGACCGAGCAACGCCGCGUGAAGGAAGAAGUAAUUCGUUAUGUAAACUUCUGUCAUAGAGGAAGAACGGUGGAUAUAGGGAAUGAUAUCCAAGUGACGGUACUCUAUAAGAAAGCCACGGCUAACUACGUGCCAGCAGCCGCGGUAAUACGUAGGUGGCGAGCGUUAUCCGGAAUUAUUGGGCGUAAAGAGGGAGCAGGCGGCACUAAGGGUCUGUGGUGAAAGAUCGAAGCUUAACUUCGGUAAGCCAUGGAAACCGUAGAGCUAGAGUGUGUGAGAGGAUCGUGGAAUUCCAUGUGUAGCGGUGAAAUGCGUAGAUAUAUGGAGGAACACCAGUGGCGAAGGCGACGAUCUGGCGCAUAACUGACGCUCAGUCCCGAAAGCGUGGGGAGCAAAUAGGAUUAGAUACCCUAGUAGUCCACGCCGUAAACGAUGAGUACU